UUGAGUUUUCUUAAUACUUGAUCCCUCAUUAUCUCACAAACUCUCUAAUCUGUACAUCAAUUUUUUUUUAAAAAUACUUGGUUUGACUUGAUUCUUAAGUAUAAUCAAGUGCUUAAAUGCUAAAUACUAACUUACUUGAGGACUUAAAAAAAUUUUUAAAUUUUUUCUUAUUCUCCCCCCAACUUAAUCGACAUUGUCCUCAAUGGAGUAGGAAAAAUGAAGGGUGCAUACAAAGAGAAAGAAAAAGAGAGAUGUCACCUGAUCCAGAAGUCUUUUCAAAAUUAGUUCUCCCCCCA
RNAcentral lists this long non-coding RNA (296 nucleotides) under Elaeis guineensis (African oil palm). Its description in RNAcentral is "long non-coding RNA (EGUI_LNC082250)". Lineage: Eukaryota; Viridiplantae; Streptophyta; Magnoliopsida; Arecales; Arecaceae. The record is from RNAcentral.